This 854-nucleotide ribosomal RNA is filed under the name uncultured bacterium. RNAcentral's name for it is "bacterial SSU rRNA". It matches the Rfam family "Bacterial small subunit ribosomal RNA", at positions 29 to 873 of the family's 1533-position model. The record is from RNAcentral.
AUGAACGCUGGCGGCGUGCCUAACACAUGCAAGUCGGAUGUGCCGCAAGGUGCAUGGCAGACGGGUGAGUAACGCGUGGGGAAUCUACCUCUUUGUGGGGAAUAACGCUCCGAAAGGAGUGGUAAUACCGCAUGAGAUCCAAGACUGGGAUGUUUUGGAUGAAACCUGGGGACCGCAAGGCCUGGGGCAAGGAGAGGAUCCUGCGUCUGAUUAGCUAGUUGGUGAGGUAAUGGCCCACCAAGGCGACGAUCAGUAGCCGGCCUGAGAGGGUGAUCGGCCACACUGGAACUGAGACACGGUCCAGACUCCUACGGGAGGCAGCAGUGGGGAAUUUUGCGCAAUGGGCGAAAGCCUGACGCAGCAACGCCGCGUGGGUGAUGAAGGUCUUCGGAUCGUAAAACCCUGUCGUCGGGGACGAAGGUGGGCGGGUUAAUAGCCUGUUUGCUUGACGGUACCCGGAGAGGAAGCCCCGGCUAACUCUGUGCCAGCAGCCGCGGUAAUACAGAGGGGGCAAGCGUUAUUCGGAAUUAUUGGGCGUAAAGGGCGCGUAGGCGGCUUUUUAAGUGAGAUGUGUAAUCCCUGAGCUCAACUUGGGAACUGCAUCUCAUACUGGGAGGCUAGAGUACUGGAGAGGGUGGUAGAAUUCCACGUGUAGCGGUGAAAUGCGUAGAGAUGUGGAGGAAUACCAGUGGCGAAGGCGGCCACCUGGACAGUAACUGACGCUGAGGCGCGAAAGUGUGGGUAGCAAACAGGAUUAGAUACCCUGGUAGUCCACACUGUAAACGAUGAACACUUGGUGUGGAGGGAGUUGACCCCUUCCGUGCCGUAGCUAACGCGUUUAAGUGUUUUCCGCC